This 3118-nucleotide long non-coding RNA is filed under the name Danio rerio (zebrafish). RNAcentral's name for it is "lncRNA (ENSDARG00000117662.1)". The record is from RNAcentral. Lineage: Eukaryota; Metazoa; Chordata; Actinopteri; Cypriniformes; Danionidae.
CGGUUUUAGGGGAAGGGCGGGAACGUGCGUCAGACGUCACAGACGCGCUGUCGCCGUCGCGUCGCAGUGUUAUGACGCGUUCAGAGCUCGCCAUCAGAAAGUUGCAGCACAUUGCUAAAGGCAGACACACACGCGCGCGAGUGACAGCAGCGGCUCUGCGCGUUCGGUUCCGGCGCUCGCGACGCGCCCGUGACGGCCGGUAGAGCUACAGCCGGUGUUUACCCGCGACCGGGAGAGUGUGUAUGUGAGUGUGUGUGUUCGCUGAAGGUGUGAUGGCGUCUGCAGGUGAGGGCGGUGUGGACUCUAAAGCGGAGCUCAGUACUCUGCUGGAGCAGUGGGAGAGAGAGCAGCAGGGGGCGUCCAGCGAGCUGCUCAACAUACUCACCAAGAUUUCAGAGCUUGUUGAAAGAGAGACGGAGGAGUAUCAUAAGGCAGAUCCUGACCCGUUUGAUGAUCGCCAUCCAGGCCGGGCAGACCCAGAGUGCAUGCUGGGACACCUGUUGAAGAUAUUGUUCAAGAAUGAUGAUUUUAUGAACGCGCUGGUGAACUCGUAUGUGAUGAGCAGCCGUGAGGUGCCGCUGAACACUGCAGCCUGCCGACUCCUGCUCAACAUCAUGCCGGGACUCGAGACGGCCGUCGUCUUUCAGGAGAAGGUCACACACGCAUGCACACGCACACAUAUACAUUCACACACAGAGGCACACAGAGCUUUACAGAUCACAUCACUAGACUUUCUGCUGAUCGAUUGAGACUCGCUGCUGUUUUCCAUUCAUCUGUCUUAAACUGGAAUGAUGCACAACAAAUGUUUAAUUCACAGUAAACUGAAGCUAUUAUUAAUGUAGAAUCAUGCAGAGGGCUUGCAUUUACAUUUAGCCAUUUAGCAGAUGCUUUUAUCCAAAGCGACUUACAAAUGAGGACAAGGAAGCAAUUUACACAACCAAGAGCAACAAUGAACAAGUGCUGUAGGCGAGUUUCAGGUCUGUAAAGUGUAAAAAGCAAAACAUUAGUCAUUAUUAUUAUUAUUAUUUUAUUUAUUUAUUUUGUUGUAGUUAGUGGAGGAGUCAGAGAGGCAAUUGCAGAUUAGGAAGGGAAGUGGAGACUAAAUAGUUGAGUGUUUAGUGGUUUCUUGAAGACAGCGAGUGACUCUGCUGUUCUGAUGCAGUUCGGGAGUUCAUUCCACCAACUGGGCAGAUUGAGCGCGAGAGUUGGGGAAAGUGAUUUCUUCCCUCUUUGGGAUGGAACCACGAGGCGACGUUCAUUCACAGAACGCAAGUUUCUGGAGGGCACAUACAUCUGCAGAAGUGAGUGCAGAUAAGAAGGAGCAAAGCCAGAAGUCGCUUUGUAGGCAAACAUCAGAGCUUUGAAUUUGAUGUGAGCAGCAACUGGCAGCCAGUGCAAACGGAUGAGCAGCGGAGUGACAUGUGCUCUUUUAGCUUCAUUAAAGACCACUCGUGCUGCUGCGUUCUGAAGCAGCUGAAGAGGUUUGAUAGAGUUAGCUGGAAGCCCGGCUAGUAGAGAGUUGCAAUAGUCCAGUCUGGAGAGAACAAGAGCUUGAACAAGGAGUUGAGCUGCAUGUUCAGAUAGGAAGGGUCGGACCUUUCUGAUGUUAUAGAGUGUGAAUCUGCACGAUCGAGCAGUUCUAGAGAUGUGGUCAGAGAAGUUUAGUUGGUCAUCAAUCGUUAAUCCAAGGCUUUUCAUUAUUCUGGAUGCAGUAAUGUUUGCCCAGUUUAUCUGGAUUGAGAAGUUAUGGUGUAGAGUCGGGUUGGCAGAAACUACAAGCAUUUCCAUUUUCGCGAGGUUCAGCUGAAGAUGAUGAUCUUUCAUCCAGUGUGAAAUGUCUGACAGGCAGGCUGAGAUGCGAGCCGGAACUGAGGGAUCAUCAGGAUGAAAAGAGAGGUAUAGCUGGGUAUCAUCAGCAUAGCAGUGGUAGGAGAAUCCAUGUCUCUGGAUGACUGAUCCUAGAGAUGUGUAGAUGGAGAAGAGAAGUGGCCCAAGAACAGAGCCUUGAGGUACCCCAGUGUUUAGAUGCUGUAGGUUGGACACCUCUCCCCUCCAAGACACCCUGAAUGACCUGUCAGAGAGCUGAGAUCUGAACCAUUGUAUAACCGUGCCUGCAACGCCCAGUGACUCGACCGUAGAUAGCAGGAUCUGGUGGAUUACAGUGUCAAAAGCAGCUGACAAAUCCAGCAAGAUGAGGACUGAUGAUUUAGAGUCUGCUCUAGCCAGUCUGAGAUCCUUAAACGUUAGAGUGAACAAAGUAGGCGAUGAUUGAAGCUGAAUAAAUGAUCAAGAGGGAAGAAGAUCAGAAAUACUUAAUGCUUCAAAAACAAAGUACUAGGGGUGUCACGAUUUCGAUUUUUAAUCGAUUUUUAAUGAAUUUAUGCUCAAUUUCAAUUAUCGAAUCAAAAAAUAGAAUCGUCGAUGCUGCCACACCCCAUGUCACGUCAGCUUGGCUUGCCAAGCGGGAAAAAAACAGGCUUGUUGAAGUGCUUGUUGAACUGCAGACGCAGGAGACCCGUCGACAGAGCUUAAACCCUCUCCUCUUUCAAUGAAGUCGCCGGUGUGGAAGCAUUUUGGAUUUCCAGUGAGUUAUGUUGACAACGUUCGUGUUGUCGACAAAAAAAACACACAGUUUUGCAAGCUCUGCAUCGCGAUCCUCCGCCCGCCCCUGUUGCAAAUCCGCUGGCGAAAAGUACACACUCAGGCCCUGUUUACACUGUCUUUGUUUUUAAAUGGCAUUUUAGAACGACAACGAUUUGACAUCCACAGUGGCGUGUAGCAUUUCUGAGCAGCCCUCCUUCCUCUCUACCUCUGAAAAUGCACAUCACGUGACCACACACACACAGACGCACACACAGCCAUGCGCUCGAGACAGCAGGUCCAGGCAGUCAGAGGACUGCUUCAAUCUUUCACUCACUUGUACUUAGUCAUUUUAGCGAACACCUCAGAUACUGUUGGCUGGUUCCUGUUGGUUGUGCGGUUUUUUAUUACCGACGCCAUUAUAACGACACAGAUCACUGCCUAUUCACGAGUCCCGCAGAAAAAGUGAUUGACAGGUGGAAUUAUGUGUGUAUCUUGCCUUUAUUCAUUUACUGUAUGAUUUGUUUAUGGGUAAAAC